AAGAAAAAAAAUCAGAAACCAUUUUCUCUCUCUCCUCAAACAAAGUUCAUGCACCAUUUUCUCACUCCUAAAAUCUCCAUCUUUCUCUCCUAAUUUUGCCCAAAUUCUGCCCAGUUUUCUUCCGUUUUUCUCAUUGCCUCACCGGAAUCGACAAAUCUUCAUAUUGAUUCAAAUAAAAACAGUAACAUUCGACGAUCAAAAAACUCCAAACAAAUUCGUGAAGUAAAACCCUAGAUAUCUGAAUUUUCAAUUUCCAAAUGGGCCGAAGUGACGAAUUGAAGUUGCGAAAUCUACAGAAAUAACUUACAAACAAAGGAGAUUUUCAUUUUCGAAUGGACCGAGGCAGAAGUAGCAAAAUCUCUCAAAGUAACUUAUCACGAAGAGGUACCCAGCUUGCUUAUACAAUAAUUUUUGGCUCUUAUGCUUCAUUUCUCUUCAUUAGAACAGGUAAGAAAGGUAGUUCUCUCUAGCUCUUCUAUACUCAUCUGAUGCUACUUUCUCCCUUGAAGCUAGCCCCUGAUCACCAGGAGUAGAAUGAAGAAGAUUCUGCACUUCAAGCAAGGCUUUGUGUCUUUUGAUCUGUUCAGCUUCAACAUUGUUGUAACCCUCUUGAUUCAAAACUUUUAGGUCCAUUUUUAUCCACUUCAGUUUCUGCAUCACCCUAUACAUGGGACACCCAUACACAUACUUUUUCCAGUUCUCCUCAACAAUGGUGUUGAACCUAGGGGAAGUGGUCCACAUAUUGAAAAAACGAAAGGGUCUUUUUUGAGGUGCUCUUUGAUAGCAAUUGAGAAGCAUGGGACUAUGAUCAUAAUGACCUUCUGGCAUGAAGUUUGCCUCAGCAGUAUCAAACAAAUCAUUCCACUCUGAGUUAGCCAACACCCUAUCAAUCCUAGAGAAAGCUCUAUCCUCUCCAUCUUGCUUGUUGUUCCAAGUAUAGAGUCUCCCUACUGUUUUUACUUCAGUUAGCUUACAAUGGAGCAUACAGUUCCUCAUUGGCUGCACUUCAGAAAGUCUAACUAUGGAUCCUAUCCUAUCAUCUAGAUCCAUCAUGGAGUUGAAAUCCCCCAUCACUAUCCAAGCAUCAGAACAUGAGUCUGCAAUUAUUUUAAGGGAAUGCCACAAAGGCUCCCUGGUGGCCCUCUCAUGGAGACCAUACACAAAAGUGCACCAAAAUCCAACAUCAGCUCCUCUAGGAGUGACAUAACAAUGCAUAAACUGAGUGUCAAUGAGUUUUAUAUCCACAGUGAAAGAAUCAGGGUCCCAAGCAAUAACUAUUCUACCAUUUUUAUGGCAACAAAGAUUAGUAGAAAAACACCAAUUGGGGCAAACAUUCAAGUACAAAUCCCCCAUUCUAGGGGCUUUCACCCUAGUUUCAAGAAGGCUGAAAAGUUUGACAUUAUGAGAGGCAAUAAACCUUCUCACUUCAUUUUGCUUAUCCUUCCUAUUCAGCCCUCUAACAUUCCAACACAGAAUGCUAUCCAUUGGGAGAAGGGGAUGUCACCCCCUGACCCAAUGGACUCUCCAUAUCAUCUUCUACCCUAAUAUCAUCAUCAUCAUCUAAAGCCAAGAAAGAGUUACCAGUUUGGAUUGGUUUCAGUUGACUGCUUCUGUGUUUAUUAAAUCUUGUGGCAAGAACAAACCCAUCAGCAUCUGGUUCCUGCAUCUUUGGUUGGACCACUGUAACUGUGUUGGUGGGUUGUACCCUUUUAGGUGCCCAUAUCUUCUUCCAUUUGUUGACCCUCUUAUGGCACUUCUCCAUGGUGUGCCCCAUUCCCUUACAGAUUGAGCAAGAAAUAGGCAGCCAGUCAUACUCCACUCUUUGAUCAAUGAUCACACCCUUCUCAUCCAGAAACUGUAUCAGUUCAGGAAACUCCUGAUCAAUCCUAACCUCCACCAGAACUUUUGCAAACAACAGUUUAUCCCUGUGUUGUGUGGCUUGAUCCACUUUGAUCACUGUGCCCACUAACCCUGUAAUCUUCUUCAAACUCUUUUCCCCCAGUAUUUAACCUCUAACCCAUGUAAUUUGAUCCAUAUUGGGACCAACUUCACAGGAUCUUUGGUGAAAUUGGAAUCAGCUGUCCAUGGCUUAACUAUGACUGGUUUUGAAUCAAAGAACUGAGCAGGUCCACUCAGAACUUUGUGGCAAUUUUCCAUAGUGGUAAACCGAAUCAGGAAUACCCCCUUCCCCACCAAUGAGACUUUAUCAAUCCCAAAUUUCCCCCAAACUCGAUUCACAAAUCCUGCCAUCACAUUUUGGGGUGGGUUUGCCCCUAAAAUGUAGCAAAUGAUCGAGGAUUGCCAAAACGCAAUCUCAUCCUCAAUAUCCUCCUCUUCAAUCUGAAUCAUCAUUGUUUUAAUCGGACUUACCGCAUUGUUAAUCGGAACUUCAUCUGCAACUAAUUGAUCAUCAGUUACUCUGUUUUCCGAGUUUCCUAACUCUCGCCCUGAUUGAAAAUGCGUAGACAGCGUCUUACCCGCACUUAAACCAUUGAUCCAAGCAUUAAACUCCGUUCGAACCUGAGAUUGUCUCUGCAAAUCCUUCAGUGCAGUUGAAGGGGAGAGAAUUUGUUCCGCCAAGAGGGUUUCAAUGUCUGGGUUUGUUUUCGGGCUUUCAGAAAUCUCAUCAACGUCCUCCAAUGGAGAACUAGGUUGUUGUGCUCGUGUUACUGGUUUCGUCACUAUCACAUUAUCCUUCUGCUUCGCGCCAUUGCUGGAUUUGCUUGCUUGUUUGCGAGGUCUUCCCAUGGUGUCGAAGAGGUCGCCUCUUCGAAACCUCCCAAACGCAGGCUUUUUUUAACGAUAAUUGUUUUGCUGUCCUAGGGUGUGCUUUAUAUAUCCACAACUAUAGUAUUAAUCUACGCACAAUGUUGGGCAAGCUUUUUGAGAUAAUGUUGGCCUGUAUACGAACCAACCUUUGGAUCAACCUCGGUUUCAAAUUUUUUAAAUUAUGUUCUAUUAUCAGUAUGAUCUGAUUAUGAAGUUUCCUGUGGACAUUCGUAAUUAACUUGUAGUAAUUAUUUUUUGGAGAAUUUCUGUAAUUGAAUUGAAAUUAAUUUCUUGUAAUUUGUAUGUUCUAAAUAUAUAACUUGAUGUUCUAAAUUAUAUAACAUGGUGUUCUAAUUUAAUUUAAUUAGUUUUAAACAAAAUUAUUAGCCUUAAGAUUCUAUUUUAAUUUAAAAUAUGCUGCUGUCAACAUCAAUAUAACUUAUAAGUGUUAGCCAGCCUAGGUUGCUUAAAAAUCUUGGCAAGGUUACAUCUUAAAAUUUGUUUAUUGCUGAGCUCUUUUGUUGUUUGGAUUUGGAGCCUUGGAGGGAUUCAAAGAAAUUUAUUCGAAGGUCUUGAGAGUUGAGGUUUGUUGGAAGGUGAGAGUGAAGAAGCAAUGUCUUCUUGGGUUGGAUUCAAUUAUAAUUUUCACCACAAAGUGUUAUAUAUGGCUCUUGGGUUUGAGUGGAUACUCUUAUUGUUUCUUAUACCUUCCUGAUAAAUAACAUUAUGUUUUCUUUGGCUUGAUCCUUGUGGGUUCUUAAUUUAAAAUGUAAAUUAGUUCUUUGGUUUGAUUUACACAUGGUGAAACAAGUUGCAGCUAAACAAAAUAAUUGCUUUCCUCGUGCUUCUUCACUGCUUGACAUACCCAUAUGAGAUGGUGUUUUACUUGCUUCUUUCAUUGUCUUUUAAUUUUCAGAUAAUGCAACAUAUGUGCAGCAAUGUUCAUAGUAUUCUGAAAGCCUAAAACUUCAUCAUUUAACUAGAAAAAAUUCUCUGUUUUUUAUUCUGUUGAUCUCAGAAAUUUGCUGGUUAUGUAUGUAUUGGUGUUUUAAUAUUUUGUUAUCUAUGUUCAAGUGCUCAGCUAAUUGUUGGGACUAGUCUCAUGACCUGAAUGUACUUGCAAUUCACUAGAGUGUGCCUUUUUUUUUGCUUUGCAUUAUUCUGAAUUUGAGACGGCACCUAUAGCUAUGAAAAGAAAUCAUGGACUGUGUCAGAAUUCUCCUUCUAGGAUGAAUUCAGUUUGAGAGAAAAGAUUGAGUGAGAGAGAAACUAAAGAAUAGAGUUGUAUUAUUGAUUGAUCAACUGAAAUACAAUGAACAUGGUGCAUAUAUAUACAGCUUGGGCUAACACAUUCAGUGAUGUGUUUAAGCCAAUCACAAUGCUUGAUUUGUACACCUCAAAUCAUUACAGCAGCUAACAAUCAUAAAUAAAGAGCUAAGGCCUUAUAACAACCUCUUGAUCUCUAACUGAAUUCAGUUAGAGAUGCUUCUAGAAUGCUGACUAGGAAUGCAGUGCAUUACUGAGUUUGUUAUUGUGCUGAUGUAUGCCUACAUUGCUGAUGUAUGCCUACAUUGCUGAUGUAUGGCUGCAUUGUUGUACUUCAUUCGUUUAGUGAUUGGUCAGCAUGAUGACAUUGCUGUAAACCAACACCCCCCCUCAAACUAGGCAUAGGAAACACAUUGACCAUGCCAAGUUUGCUGGAUAAAGACCUGUGUUGAGCACCAGGAAGUAUUUUGGUAAAAAUAUCAGCAAGUUGAUUCUGAGUGGGAAGAUAGCUUAACUGAAGUAACCCAUCUAAGACCUUAUCUCUAGUGAAAUGACAAUCCACUUCAAUGUGUUUUGUCCUUUCAUGAAAGAUUGGGUUGGCAGCAAUGUGUAUGGCUGAUUGGUUAUCACAAUGUAGUUCAACAGGCUUUAAAUUAGUGACACCAAGUUCUUCAAGCAGUCUGAUUAUCCAAGUAACUUCUCCAGCAGCUUGAGACAUUGCUCUAUACUCAGCUUCAGAAGAUCUCUUAGAAAUUGUAGAUUGCUUCUUGGACUUCCAACUGAUAGGUGAAUUGCCUAGUAGAAGAACAUACCCUGUGACAGAUCUUCUUGUAGUGGGACUAGCAGCUAAAUCUGAGUCAGAAAAGGCUUGUAGAGUAAGCUUAUCAGUUGCUCUUAAUAAGAUUCCUUGUCCUGCAGUGUUGCUAAUGUAUCGAAGAGUAUGAGUAAGGGCCUCAACAUGUUGGAGUUUAGGAGAAUGCAUAAACUGAUUGAGGGAUUGAACAACAAAAGAGAUGUCAGGUCUUGUAUGUGUUAGAAAAUUCAGUUUCCCCACAUAGCAUCUAUAGAGUUCAGCAUUGUGAUAAUCUUCUCCUUCAGUUGAAAGUUUUAGGUUAAGUGGAAAAGGGGUGAUAGCAGGUUUAGAUAUGUCCAACUCACAAUCUUGAAGAAGUUCUUUAGUAUACUUCUUUUGUGUUAGAAUGUAACCUUCAUUGGUGUGGCUGAUUUCAAUGCCAAGGAAGAAAUUAAGGACACCAAGGUCUUUGAUGCUGAAAGUGAGAUGGAGAUGAUUCUUGAGAUCACUGAUAACAGAUUCAUUAGAACCAGUGAUGAUAAUAUCAUCAACAUAUACUGCAACCACAGUGAGAUCAGUUGAUGUUUUCUUGAUGAACAAUGAGUAGUCAUUUUUUGAUUGAUUGAACCCUUGAGACUUGAGUUCUUGGUGGAGUCUAGCAAACCACUGUCUUGAUGUUUGCUUGAGGCCAUAUAAUGAUUUCUUGAGUUUACAAACAAAACCAGUAGGAGCCGUGACACCUUCAGGCACCUUCAUGUACACUUCUUCAUCAAGUGUACCAUGAAGAAAGGCAUUGUUUAUGUCCAAUUGAAACAACUUUCAGUUUCUGCUAGCAGCAAGACUAAUUAAACACCUCAUAGUUGACAUUUUUACUAGAGGAGAGAAGGUUUCAUGAUAAUCUAUCCCAUACUUUGGAGUAAAGCCCUUAGCAACUAAUCGAGCCUUAUAUCUCUCCACUGAUCCAUCAGCAUUCUUCUUGAUCCUGUACACCCACUUGCAACCAAUUGCCUUCUUACCUUUAGGUAACAAAACAAAAUCCCAAGUAUUAUUGUUUUGUAGAGCUGUUAUCUCCUUAUCCAUAGCUUCAAUCCAUUGAGAGUCUUUAGCAGCUUCAGAGUAAGUGGUUGGUUCAACAAGUUCCAUAUGAGCAGUGAUCAAUAGUUUGUGAUGCACUGGUAAACUUUCAUAAGCUACCAAGUUGCACCAAUGCUUUGUAGGUCUUUGACAGACAAAAUCCUUCAAAUGAGAAGGAAUCUUUGUGGGUCUACUGGAUUUUCUUGGUGCUGGUGGUGGGUUGUCUGAUGGGGAAAAAUGGCUUGGUGAUGAAACAGGAGAUAAUGUGUCUUGUGUAGAAGUAAAAGGUGGAUUAGAUGUGCUUUCAGUAGGAGAGAUGUUGUCUGUGUGAGUAUAUGGUUCAUGAGUGUCUAGGUGAGGUUGAGGAAUAUUUGUGGAGUAUAAUUCUGAAGUGUAAGGAGUAACAACAGGUAGAAUAAAUUGAUUAGAAUAAACUUGGUCAGGAGUGGUUGAGAAAUGAAAUGGGAAAUGGUGUUCAUGAAAAACAUCCCUGGUGAUGACAAACUUCUUUGUGGCUAGAUUGAGAACUUUGUAAGCCUUUUGACGUGGGGGAUAACCAAGCAAAACACAUGGGGUUGCUCUAGGAUCAAAUUUUGAUCCGUGAAUAGUAGGGGUGCUAAUGAAACAAAGGCAACCAAAAACUCUCAAGUGAGACAGAUCAGGUGGCUUGUUAAACAGCCUUUCAUAAGGAGUAGUGAAAUUGAUACUUCUCAGUGGCAUCCUAUUGAUCAAAUAGGUGGCAGUAAGGACACAAUCACUCCAAUAUUUAUCAGGCAAUUUGGACUGAAAAGAGAGAGCUCUUGCAGUUUCUAAUAGGUGUUUGUGUUUCCUCUCAACAACACCAUUCUGUUGUGGAGUAUAGCUACAACUUUUCUGAUGCAGAAUGCCUUUACUUAGAAACAAUGCUUUCAUAUCUCCUUCAGUAAGAUUAAGUGCAUUAUCAGAUCUUAUCUGUUUAACUGUAAAGCUAUAUUGAUUUUCAACAUAAACAAAGAAGUCAUGCAUUAUUUUCACAGAAUCAGUCUUAUUUCUCAUUAGAUGAGUCCAAGUCAUCCUAGUGUAGUCAUCCACAAUAGUAAGGAAUUGAUUACAUCUAGUAGUAUCAUAUACAGAAUAGGGACCCCACACAUCUAUGUGUAACAGCUCAAAAGGUUGAACUAUUUUGAUACUACUUACAGAAAAGGGAAAUCUAGUUUGUUUAGCUAAGGGGCAUAUCUGACAAAAACACUCAGCUAAACAACCUUUGACAUCAACUCCUUUGAUGUUCUUUAUUUUUCCAAAUGACAUAUGUCCAAGCCUAAGAUGCCAUAGCUUUGCUUCUUCCACUUCAUAAACACUUGAGAAAGCAUGAUUAGUAGAGAUAGAACUGCUGUCAGACUUUAACAGAUCCUCAUUGAAAUUGUAUAGGCCUUUGUCCAAUCUACCAGGCAGAGUAUGCUUGUUCUUGGAAAGGUCCUGUGCAAAACAUUCAUUAUUUGUAAAUGAUACUGAACACUGAUCAUCACAACACAGCUUGGACACUGAAAUCAAAUUGAAUUGAAACCCUGGAACAUGCAGAACACCUUUUAGAGUAAUUGUGCCUAGAUCAACUUCACCUUUAUGUGUUACUGUAAGUUCUGUGCCAUCAGGAAUGGUGAUAGUGUGAAAUUUGUCAUUUACUGAUUCAAUAGUGCUAAACAUGGUCAAGUCUGAGCACAUGUGAUCACUUGCCCCACUGUCUAAAUCCACUUAGUUUUAAAGUUAGACAAAAGACAAAAUGUACCUUUCAGAUGAGUGCUGGUUGCCAAGCCAAGUGAAUUAGAACCAUGAUGCUCAGUUUGACUGGCAGCCUUCUGAUUAGUGAGGAAAGUCAUGAGUUGAUCAUAUUGCUCCUGUGUAAAUGUUGCACGGACAGUACCUUGAUCUGCACUCCCUGCAGCCUCCUUUUCAGCAUAUUCCUCUAAAUGAGCAGCUGCUGCAACUCUCUUUCCCUUUCCUUUGAAAUCCUUGGGAUAACCAUGUAAUUUCCAGCACUUAUCAACUGUAUGGUUCUUCAUUUUGCAGUGUUCACAGAACAAACUGGUUUCUUGCUGAAUUCCCUUGCUGAAUUCCCUCCACUUACAUUCUGUGAGCCAAAAGAAGAAAUAUAUUGUGGCUUGUAUGCUUUAUUGUCAGUAAACUUCCUAGCAGCAAAAAUUGUGGAUUCUAUACCAUGGUUUCGAUUACUAUUUACUUCUUUCUGUUGUUCUUCUUGCAGAAGAAGUCCAUAUGCUUUUGAUAUUGUUGGCAAGGAUGUCAUCAUGAGAAUUGUGCUUUUGGAGUGAUCAUAUUUUUCAUUCAGCUUCAUUAGAAACUGAAUCAGCCUUUGAUCUUCUUGAGAUUUCAGAAGUUUUUGUGUUAAAGUGCAGCUGCAACCAGUGCAAACACAAGAUGGUAAUGGAUCCAGACCAUCAAGCUGGUCCCAUAACAGUUUAAUCUUAGUGAAGAAACCUGAAAUUUGUUCACCAUCUUCUUGAUUCAGAUCACAAAGUUUCUGUUGCACAGAGAAGAGCUGAGGUCCUGAUGACUGACAAAAUCUUUCCCCUAAAUCCAACCAUAUCUCUCUAGCUGUUUUUAGAUACAGCACACCUCUUGCAAUAGAAGGUUCCAGUGAUGCCAAAAUCCAAGAUAUCACCAAAUCAUUGCAUCUGUUCCAUAUUCUGAAGUUAGUAGAAUUUGAAGCAGGCUGAGUGAGGCUUCCAUCAACAAAACACAAUUUAUUUCUUGCUGAAAGUGCUAUCAUCAUAGAUCGCUUCCAAUCAUUAAAACAUUUUCAAUCAAAAAUAAUAUUGACCAGCUUGGAUGCAUUAA
RNA transcript from Spinacia oleracea (spinach), 8731 nucleotides. RefSeq lists it as uncharacterized. The transcript has 4 exons. NCBI's taxonomy places the organism in Eukaryota, Viridiplantae, Streptophyta, Magnoliopsida, Caryophyllales, Amaranthaceae. The record is from RefSeq and is a predicted model, not a curated record.